RNAcentral lists this ribosomal RNA (449 nucleotides) under bacterium AB2024. RNAcentral's name for it is "bacterial SSU rRNA". It matches the Rfam family "Bacterial small subunit ribosomal RNA", at positions 28 to 445 of the family's 1533-position model. The record is from RNAcentral.
GAUAAACGCUGGCGGCGUGCUUAACACAUGCAAGUCGAACGGAGUACUUCUCCCGAGACCGAGGAAGCUUGCUUCCAAAGAAUCAUUUGAAGUACUUAGUGGCGGACGGGUGAGUAACGCGUGGGUAACCUGCCUCACACAGGGGGAUAACAGUUGGAAACGACUGUUAAUACCGCAUAAGCGCACAGUAUCGCAUGAUACAGUGUGAAAAACUCCGGUGGUGUGAGAUGGACCCGCGUCUGAUUAGCUAGUUGGUGAGGUAACGGCCCACCAAGGCGACGAUCAGUAGCCGGCCUGAGAGGGUGUACGGCCACAUUGGGACUGAGACACGGCCCAAACUCCUACGGGAGGCAGCAGUGGGGAAUAUUGCACAAUGGGGGAAACCCUGAUGCAGCGACGCCGCGUGAGCGAUGAAGUAUUUCGGUAUGUAAAAGCUCUAUCAGCAGGGA